This 460-nucleotide ribosomal RNA is filed under the name uncultured bacterium. RNAcentral's name for it is "partial 16S ribosomal RNA". It matches the Rfam family "Bacterial small subunit ribosomal RNA", at positions 338 to 795 of the family's 1533-position model. The record is from RNAcentral.
CCUACGGGCGGCAGCAGUGAGGAAUAUUGGUCAAUGGGCGCUAGCCUGAACCAGCCAAGUAGCGUGAAGGAUGACUGCCCUAUGAGUUGUAAACUUCUUUUAUAAGGGAAUAAAGUGCGGUACGUGUACCUUUUUGAAUGUACUUUAUGAAUAAGGAUCGGCUAACUCCGUGCCAGCAGCCGCGGUAAUACGGAGGAUCCGAGCGUUAUCCGGAUUUAUUGGGUUUAAAGGGAGCGUAGGCGGGUUGUUAAGUCAGUUGUGAAAGUUUGCGGCUCAACCGUAAAAUUGCAUUUGAUACUGGCAGCCUUGAGUACAGUUGAGGUAGGCGGAAUGUGUGGUGUAGCGGUGAAAUGCUUAGAUAUCACGAAGAACUCCGAUUGCGAAGGCAGCCUACUAAACUGUAACUGACGUUGAUGCUCGAAAGUGUGGGUAGCAAACAGGAUUAGAUACCCUAGUAGUC